This 433-nucleotide ribosomal RNA is filed under the name uncultured bacterium. RNAcentral describes it as "partial 16S ribosomal RNA". It matches the Rfam family "Bacterial small subunit ribosomal RNA", at positions 29 to 507 of the family's 1533-position model. The record is from RNAcentral.
AACGAACGCUGGCGGCAUGCCUAACACAUGCAAGUCGAACGAUGCCUUCGGGCAUAGUGGCGCACGGGUGCGUAACGCGUGGGAAUCUGCCUUUCGGUUCGGAAUAACUCAGGGAAACUUGAGCUAAUACCGGAUAACGUCGCAAGACCAAAGAUUUAUCACCGAAAGAUGAGCCCGCGUAGGAUUAGCUAGUUGGUGAGGUAAAGGCUCACCAAGGCGGCGAUCCUUAGCUGGUCUGAGAGGAUGAUCAGCCACACUGGGACUGAGACACGGCCCAGACUCCUACGGGAGGCAGCAGUGGGGAAUAUUGGACAAUGGGCGAAAGCCUGAUCCAGCAAUGCCGCGUGAGUGAUGAAGGCCUUAGGGUUGUAAAGCUCUUUUACCCGGGAAGAUAAUGACGGUACCGGGAGAAUAAGCCCCGGCUAACUCCGUG